Molecule: small nucleolar RNA, 104 nt
Organism: Callithrix jacchus (white-tufted-ear marmoset)
Lineage: Eukaryota; Metazoa; Chordata; Mammalia; Primates; Cebidae
Source: Ensembl
AUCCUUUUGUAGUUCACAAACACGAUAACUGGGUGCUCAUGCACAUGUGUAAGGUGUGCCUCCCUCAGACAUUGCUACAAUGUCAGCACAUUACCCGUCUGACA